AUUGAACUCAGGGGCACAUAACCACUGAGUCAUAUCCCCAGUCCUAUUUUGUAUUUUUAUUUAUAGACAGUGUCUCACUGAGUUGCUUAGCACCUCAAUUUCACUGAGGUUGGCUUUGAACUCACAAUCUUUCUGCCUUAGGCUCCCAAUCCGCUGGGAUGGCAGACAUGUUCCACCUCACUCAGCUUGAAUAGAUCUUUAAUUUCUCUUCUAUUUAUUUAUCUUUAAGAUGGGGCUAAUGCCACUUGCUUCCCAAGAUUAUAGUGAGAAUUAAAUGAAGUCAUAGAUAGUUAGCACUUAGUGCCUAGUGAGUGCUCCAUAAGCCAGGGGGAUGACAGGCCUUUGUAUUUUUGAUUUGUGGGCACCCAGAUAUAGCUCUUUUGGCAAAGCCUUGAACUACUCAGCAG
RNAcentral lists this long non-coding RNA (407 nucleotides) under Marmota monax (woodchuck). Lineage: Eukaryota; Metazoa; Chordata; Mammalia; Rodentia; Sciuridae. The record is from RNAcentral.